Molecule: non-coding RNA, 278 nt
Organism: Pelobates cultripes (western spadefoot toad)
Lineage: Eukaryota; Metazoa; Chordata; Amphibia; Anura; Pelobatidae
Source: the annotation of a GenBank genome assembly
UCUUUCGUCCACUUUGUCAGUGUGCUCAGCCUGCCAUGAAUUGAGGGGGCAGCAACUUAAUGUCAUAUCAUGCCUCUCUCCACUCACCUCUAAUUGAGCAGGGUAGAUAUUACAAUCAUGGUAACAUACAUUAACAAGGGCUAGGGAAGACAAAAAAGGCACACACAAAAGAAUUUUAGGGUGGAAGUGGAUGGACCAAAUUGGGUGCUGGAAAAUAUAAAAAUAGAGUGUUGGGUGGACAGACAGAAUAGGGGUGUUGGGAGGUGGACAGACUGAUG